This 362-nucleotide ribosomal RNA is filed under the name Diphascon sp. F6458. RNAcentral's name for it is "SSU rRNA". It matches the Rfam family "Eukaryotic small subunit ribosomal RNA", at positions 39 to 399 of the family's 1831-position model. The record is from RNAcentral. Lineage: Eukaryota; Metazoa; Tardigrada; Eutardigrada; Parachela; Hypsibiidae.
AAAGAUUAAGCCAUGCAUGUCUCAGUACUUGCUUUUACAAGGCGAAACCGCGAAUGGCUCAUUAAAUCAGUUAUGGUUCAAUUGAUCGUAAAUUAUACACGGAUAACUGUGGUAAUUCUAGAGCUAAUACGUGCAAAUAGCUCGGUCCCUUGUGGAACGGGCGCAGUUAUUAGAUCAAAACUAAUCCGGCCUUCGGGUCGGUAAAAUUGGUGACUCUGAAUAACCGAAGCGGAGCGCGUGGUCUCGUACCGGCGCCAGAUCUUUCAAGUGUCUGACUUAUCAGCUUGUUGUUAGGUUACGUUCCUAACAAGGCUUCAACGGGUAACGGGGUAUCAGGGUCCGAUACCGGAGAGGGAGCCUGA